AGAGUUUGAUCAUGGCUCAGGACGAACGCUGGCGGCAGGCUUAACACAUGCAAGUCGAACGAGACCUUCGGGUCUAGUGGCGCACGGGUGAGUAACGCGUGGGAACCUGUCCUGUGGUUCGGGAUACCUCCGGGAAACUGGAGUUAAUACCGGAUGUCUCCUUCGGGAGAAAGAUUUAUCGCCAUAGGGUGGGCCCGCGUCCGAUUAGCUAGUUGGUGGGGUAAAGGCCUACCAAGGCAUCGAUCGGUAGCUGGUCUGAGAGGAUGAUCAGCCACACUGGGACUGAGACACGGCCCAGACUCCUACGGGAGGCAGCAGUGGGGAAUAUUGGACAAUGGGGGCAACCCUGAUCCAGCCAUGCCGCGUGAGUGAUGAAGGCCUUCGGGUUGUAAAGCUCUUUCGGUGGGGACGAUGAUGACGGUACCCACAGAAGAAGCCCCGGCUAACUUCGUGCCAGCAGCCGCGGUAAUACGAAGGGAGCGAGCGUUGUUCGGAAUUACUGGGCGUAAAGGGCGCGUAGGCGGCGCACCAAGUCAGGCGUGAAAGCCCUGGGCUUAACCCAGGAAUUGCGUUUGAGACUGGCGUGCUGGAGUGCAGGAGAGGUCGGCGGAAUUCCCAGUGUAGAGGUGAAAUUCGUAGAGAUUGGGAAGAACACCGGUGGCGUAGGCGGCCGACUGGACUGUAACUGACGCUGAGGCGCGAAAGCGUGGGGAGCAAACAGGAUUAGAUACCCCAGUAGUCC
RNAcentral lists this ribosomal RNA (742 nucleotides) under uncultured Alphaproteobacteria bacterium. RNAcentral describes it as "bacterial SSU rRNA". It matches the Rfam family "Bacterial small subunit ribosomal RNA", at positions 8 to 796 of the family's 1533-position model. The record is from RNAcentral. Lineage: Bacteria; Pseudomonadati; Pseudomonadota; Alphaproteobacteria.